RNAcentral lists this long non-coding RNA (462 nucleotides) under Pongo abelii (Sumatran orangutan). RNAcentral's name for it is "lincRNA". The record is from RNAcentral. Lineage: Eukaryota; Metazoa; Chordata; Mammalia; Primates; Hominidae.
AGAGUCGGGUCAGGUGGAUGGGCGAGAGGACCGGUGUGGCCAGGCUGCGGAAGCCAGCACAGGAGACAAGGGCGGGGGCUGUACAUUACAGAGACUGCUGGGGGCUUGUCCAAAGAGCAGCAGGGGGCACGGAAGGGCUUGGGGACACAGACACGAUCAGACUUGCAUUUCAUCAGGCAUUCUUUAGCUGCCUGCAGGGUGGCUGGGCUGUGUGAGAUGACCCUUCUUUGACCAGGUUAGGAAUUAUGACUGGUUUCCAGAGAGAACAUUGGUUAGCAGUUGGCUAUGGGGGAAGAGGGGGCAUUGAGACAACUGGGGUCCCCCUGAAGUGCCAGCAAAGUCUCUGGUUUUCUCCAGGAUCUGUUUCCUCAGUCCCUGGCAGGAUUGGCUCCCCUGCAGGCCAUGUCUUUGUGAUCCCUUCCAGACAGAAACCAGGAGUGAAUAAAGUGAAUAAUGACAAGC